UGAGUAACACGUAUCCAACCUGCCGUCUACUCUUGGACAGCCUUCUGAAAGGAAAGAUUAAUACAAGAUGGCAUCAUGAGUCCGCAUGUUCACAUGAUUAAAGGUAUUCCGGUAGACGAUGGGGAUGCGUUCCAUUAGAUAGUAGGCGGGGUAACGGCCCACCUAGUCUACGAUGGAUAGGGGUUCUGAGAGGAAGGUCCCCCACAUUGGAACUGAGACACGGUCCAA
This 228-nucleotide ribosomal RNA is filed under the name uncultured bacterium. Its description in RNAcentral is "partial 16S ribosomal RNA". It matches the Rfam family "Bacterial small subunit ribosomal RNA", at positions 107 to 334 of the family's 1533-position model. The record is from RNAcentral.